UCGAAAGACAUUCAUUCAAGAAAUUCUAACGUGAUUAUCGUAAAUAGCUGGAAUUGUAGAUAUUUACAAUGACAUAGAUCAUUUUUCUUCGACGUAAUUACGGCCUAAUGUCGAGACAAGAAUAAUAUGACGCUGAUCUGUGUUUUGACAAGAAUAUGAAUGAUCUUAAGAAAAGGCUUCGCUGAAUCAAUUGGAAGACAGCGUCUUCAAUUGUCCUACUAAAUUCUUUACGGAUGACAUCUGGGUCUGGGGAGAUCAUGCAAAAAAAUAAGACAUCAUUUAUAACUUUCAACCUUCCGCUCACAGGACAAAUUCUCGAAGACGCUACGAAAAGAUGCUGAGCUUGAUCAUAAUUCUUCAGGCUCCCAAUUCAAGAAUACAAUUACUUAGCGUGGGUGCUUCUGCUCAGUCUUCGUUUCCUAUCUCCACAUACGAAUCACUCGCUUGUUACUAAUUCGAAUAAUUUACUGCUGUAAGGAGUCGUACCGCCAACUAAAUCUGAAUAACAAUUUGGCUGCUAGAAGUCAAAAAGUAGGCGCUGCAAUGAUUAUGUGGUAUGAUCAGAUUGUGUCGCAACAUUCAGCGGGGUUUUGACUCAAUGGGACCGCUGCUAAUAAAGUGUUUAACUAGCGAAUUUUGGAACACACCCGUUGACAAAAGUAUAAGGAGUCUCUUUCCGUGAGUUCCCCUCUUCCUCUCACUGCACUUCAACUAUGCCUUAUAGCAACCAAGAAGCUAGAAAAUGCCAACUAUUAAAAAGAUAACCUCUUUGGAAUCAAAUAAAACGGAGAUUAUCUUGGGAUCUAUUUCACAAAUUUACGGCUAAUUGGAAUGAACAGCGCCAAGUAGCACUGGACAAACUGCAGAGAGUAUUAGAACUUGCUUUAUUCCGUAUAUCGUACUUUAGGUCGUCAGUUUUACCACUUCGGUACGCAAAUGAAAAUAAAAAGCUCAUUCACAACUUAGACACAAUUUCGCCGUUUACAAGUAGCUGAAAAGUCCAUCUAUCGAAUUAUGAAUGAUACUAUUUUAAAUAUCGUCGUUACUGCACUCGUUUUCCACGUUCUUUUUAUCCACACAUCCGAUGUUUUAUUUACAGUUGAGCAUCUCAGGGCCAGCGACAAAUAUAAACAUAUUAUACUCAAAAUGAAGCUCGUUGAAAAGAGAAUAUUUCUUAACCUCUUUUACAGUGCUUUCAACACCUUUUCACCUGUGUGCCAUGUCAGAUUAAGGAUGCUCAACUUUUCGAAUUAUUAUUACAAAUUUCAAAGAAAUUACUAGUCCUUUUUGUCCCCUAAUGUAUCCCUCAUUUCAUACCGUCGUUUUGGGGUUCCAACUACGUAUAGCUUUCAAGUGUGGUUUUACGGUAAGAACAACCCCCCAUCGGUUGGUGCGGAAUACUUUCCUAUUCUCAUCGAGAGCCGAGCCAUACACCUAAGGUGGACAGAAAGCUAAAAUUCCAAAACAGAAAAAUCUAACAUCUUUGCUCCCUUACAAGUAGGAACGCUGGCGUAUCAACCCGUCUCCAGAUUUGCCCAGCAUUUCUGUAGAACACCCAAUGCGAAUGAAGACUAAUGAAUAUUGUAAAGACAAAAAAUAGGAAAAGUUUAAUUAGUGAUGGUUCUCACCACCCCAAAACGGUCACUUGCAUGCAUUGAGGACAUGCACCUGCAGUACUUGUUUUUCUCGAAUGUUUUUACCAUCUCUUUUUUCCUUAUCUGAGCUACUGACGCAGACGGACAUUGUUUCAUAUUUCGAAAGCUGUGCGGGAAAACGGAUCCUAACACGAAUGUGAAUGCGCUAAUCAAUAUUUCCACCACAUGAAACCUGCUACUUUUUCAGUCCUCUUCGUAUGCAUUUCCCAAAAUUCAUUCGUAGCCUUGUCAACUUAGACUCAGUUCCACGGCGUGCAGGACGGGGUAUUAUGAAUAAAAGGAUCCACGGGUGAGAUUUGUUCUGUGUUUUAGGUAUGGAGUUUUGUACCACAAAACUUUAGGAAUACCGGAUUUUGUGCCUACGCCAGCCCCAGAGUAUGUUCUCACAGCUGUAAUUCCUAGUGAUCUUUUCCUGGCUCCAAUAGGAACGCCGGUAGGCAAAUUAAACUUUCGCGGCAGGAAAAAAAAGGCUUUUUCUUUUUUGCCUUUCAGUUUCUCGGAAUGUGGCAUUACAUAAGCAUAAUCCUUUUUGGGUGUGCCUGGAAAGUUCAAAUUAAGGUUUUUUUCUUCUGUUUUCUUGGCAAGAAAAUGUCGCCCAAAGAGUUUCGGCCGUUAUUUUCCUAUCGAAGUGGGUCCUUUUUGUCUUUAGUCCUUCUCUGGGGCUAGCGAUCACUGCAAAAUUAGGCUUCACUGGUACGAGUUAACUUUUUUUCUUUUUUUUUGUCAUCCUUUUCUUUGGGGCUAAGAACGGACUUCCCUUUUCUUUUUCUUUGUUGAGUUAACUUUUUUUCUUUUUUUUAGAACGGACUUCCCUUUUCUUUUUCUUUGUUGCAGCAGUGGCUUCAAAGAACUGCUGAUUGCUCAAGGCAAUCAGUCCGAGCGUUUAGAAGGUGAUUGUAGGCAGAAAUUAACUUUGCGGUAAAAGAAUGACAUUCUUUCUUAAAAGAAAAAUUAGCUUUUUUUUGUCAGGCAUUGCACAAACUUUUUUAUUUCUGCCUAUACUCUUAAACAGAUCAGUCAUUCAUGUUGUCUUUUUAACGGUCGUACUGGGACAUCACAUGCCUUGGGAUUCCGUAAUUAGGUGCAACAAUACGGGCACAACUCAUUCUGCGCUAUCUUCACGGACAGAACUUCUAUUGCCUAUCGGUGGUGUGAUUAACAAUUGGAAGCGCAGAGCUUGGAAUGGAUUUCCAAUUCAAUGGAUUUGGAGGUAUUCGUUUGUUUACUAAUAUUUACUUUGAGGACAUUGCCCAACCCUAAAAGUGCCUGUUCCAGAAUAGAAUAACAUUAUGAUACGUUUUCUUGACCGCUGAGCAAUUUAAAGCAAUUAUUAGGGUACGAUUGUUUCUAGAGAAAUGUGGGUCAUCUUUUUAGGUCCGUUCUCUUCUGAUGAGGUAACCUUUACAAAAAUGUCAUAGAGUUACCAAUUGGGAUUCAAGGCAUCAUCGCAAUAUACUUCGUUCUCUUACGGAGAAAUUAAGCACUUUCUACUUUGAAUUAACUGUUAGACUUGUCUUAUCUGAGGAAUGUCCGUGUUCAAAUUAAAUAAAAAUUUAGGGCAGUUUUAUUUACCUUAACAAAUAUGUUCAAGCAUGUACGU
Molecule: small RNA, 3255 nt
Filed under: Saccharomyces cerevisiae YJM244
Lineage: Eukaryota; Fungi; Ascomycota; Saccharomycetes; Saccharomycetales; Saccharomycetaceae
Description: ICR1
Source: RNAcentral